This 832-nucleotide long non-coding RNA is filed under the name Helianthus annuus (common sunflower). The record is from RNAcentral. Lineage: Eukaryota; Viridiplantae; Streptophyta; Magnoliopsida; Asterales; Asteraceae.
AUGUUUUUCUGAUAAAUUAUGUGCAUUUGACAUAGCAUGACACACUUUUCCCUCUGCUAUUCUUUUUCUUCAAGAAUUAAAACCCUAACUCUCACUCUCUCCCUCUCGUUCACUACCCAAAAGCCCCAUAUCCUCUCCAUAUUUUCUCAACCCUAGCCACCUUCAACCUUGUCUUUGCUCUGCAAGUUCAUCAAGUCCAAACCAUAACACUAAACAUCCUCCACCAUGCCCACCUUCCCCUUCAAAUCGAUGAGCGGCUGGCAUCCACACCGCCACCAUGGCGGUGGCAGCGAUAAGACAGAAAGAUGAACGGUGUGACAGGACCGACGGCAGAUUCUCACAUCGGCGGCGUGGGGGUGGUGUCGGGUGGCGGCUUGAGUGAGAGAGUGAGACGGGAGAGAGUUAUGAGGGACGACGAGGCGCCGACGGCAGCGCCGCCGUGAGCGGCGGCGGACCUGCUUCCUCCGACAAGCUGAAUCUUGAAGAUGAUGAUGUCCGGUCACAGGUUCGGGUCAACAGUCAACGAUUUUGGUUCGGGUUCGCGACUCAGUUCGGUGUCGGGUCAGACACACGACUCCGGUGAGUGCUUCUUUUUCUCGUUUCGAGUAAAUGCAUUGAUUGAAGCCGGUUUCUAAACUAUUGUUUCUUUUUACCUUGGUGGUUAUUAUGGUCGCUUUAUUUCGAGUUCGGGUCCGUGAAGGUGGUUCAAGCUUCAGAUCGGUACAUGUUCAUGCUCGGGGUUAAGUUUGGCUCAAGUUUAGUCAACAAAAGUCAGAUCUGAUUUGGUUUAACUCGGGUUGACUCGGUCAAACCGAGUCAACUCAGUGUUCGG